AUACCUUUCUCGGCCUUUUGGCUAAGAUCAAGUGUAGUAUCUGUUCUUAUCAGUUUAAUAUCUGAUAUGUGGGCCAUGUGCCCACGAUGAUAUUAAAUUUAUUUUUUAUGGGAGAGGGCCCACCACAGUGGCUUGCCACUGGGACCCUCGGGAGUCGUCCAGGCGUUGCACUACAGCCUGGCUGGCGCACCCCAA
This 195-nucleotide small nuclear RNA is filed under the name Triticum dicoccoides. RNAcentral's name for it is "snRNA U2". It matches the Rfam family "U2 spliceosomal RNA". From Rfam's summary of the family: U2 is a small nuclear RNA (snRNA) component of the spliceosome (involved in pre-mRNA splicing). Complementary binding between U2 snRNA (in an area lying towards the 5' end but 3' to hairpin I) and the branchpoint sequence (BPS) of the intron results the bulging out of an unpaired adenosine, on the BPS, which initiates a nucleophilic attack at the intronic 5' splice site, thus starting the first of two transesterification reactions that mediate splicing. The record is from RNAcentral. Lineage: Eukaryota; Viridiplantae; Streptophyta; Magnoliopsida; Poales; Poaceae.